Non-coding RNA from Podarcis lilfordi (Lilford's wall lizard), 70 nucleotides. NCBI's taxonomy places the organism in Eukaryota, Metazoa, Chordata, Lepidosauria, Squamata, Lacertidae. The record is from the annotation of a GenBank genome assembly.
GGCAGUAGCUCAGUGGCAGGGCACCUGCUUGGCAUGUAGAAGGUCCCAGGUUCAAUCCCAGGUAGGGUUG